RNAcentral lists this unclassified non-coding RNA (337 nucleotides) under soil metagenome. RNAcentral describes it as "partial contains 5.8S ribosomal RNA, internal transcribed spacer 2, and large subunit ribosomal RNA". The stretch from base 1 to 120 matches the Rfam family "5.8S ribosomal RNA", at positions 35 to 154 of the family's 154-position model. The record is from RNAcentral.
GAUGAAGAACGCAGCGAAAUGCGAUAAGUAAUGUGAAUUGCAGAAUUCCGUGAAUCAUCGAAUCUUUGAACGCACAUUGCGCCCCCUGGCAUUCCGGGGGGCAUGCCUGUCCGAGCGUCAUUUCUGCCCUCAAGCACGGCUUGUGUGUUGGGUGUGGUCCCCCCGGGGACCUGCCCGAAGGGCAGCGGCGACGUCCGUCUGGUCCUCGAGCGUAUGGGGCUCUGUCACUCGCUCGGGAAGGACCUGCGGGGGUUGGUCACCACUAUAUUUUACCACGGUUGACCUCGGAUCAGGUAGGAGUUACCCGCUGAACUUAAGCAUAUCAAUAAGCGGAGGA